This 950-nucleotide long non-coding RNA is filed under the name Homo sapiens (human). Its description in RNAcentral is "HSALNT0147534". Lineage: Eukaryota; Metazoa; Chordata; Mammalia; Primates; Hominidae. The record is from RNAcentral.
UGAACAUGAGAUGCUUCAGACAGAUCUCUCACUUAACUCUGUCAUAUAGUAGCUCUAAGCCUGAGCAACUCAUACUGUCUGAACCUCAGAUUUUUCUGCAGUGUGAGGAUGACAGUAUCCUGAGGGAGAGUCGUGAGAAUUUGACACUAUGUUGGGGACUAUCUCAAUGUUCAGCGCAUGGUAAGCACUCAAUAAAUUAGAGCUACUAGCCUUUGUAACUAUUAGUGUCCUUGUGUUUGUAGUUCCAUUUGGUCAGAGGAACUUUCAGUUAAUAUUGAUGCCAUGAGUCCAGCCUUUGUUAGCCUUCAUACGCUGUCCUAUCUUUGCUCUGUGUUGGAAGCUCGGAUUUAUGACUGUGACAAACCAGGAAAUUAAUUUCAGAUCCAAUUUUGCAAUCUCCAGUAUUCCUUUCUACAGGUAUCUAAAUGUUGAUUUUCUACAUUGAGGUUCAUACACCACAUAUGAGGAAAUGAUCUGGUAUCUAUCUCCAAAACUGUCGCUAGAUCUCAGUGCUCACAGCUAAUAUUAAGAGUCCUCACAGACUCAUUUCUCCAAGUUUCUGAAUUCCUUGAACUUCAUCUAAGGUGGAUGCACACAUAAGCCUUUCUCAUUCUCCUUUCAAAAUGAAAUUUCCUUUCAGCCUUCUUCCCUGCCCAAAGCAGGAAACAACUCUCCUGCUCCCCAGCAGCUCUCUCUAUGUUUUCACAAUAUUAGGAGGCACUGUCUGCUAUUUGGAAUCAUUUUGGCUUAUUAUAAGGGCUCACACUGUACUUCAUUAGCAGGGCUGCUGUGAAAUUAUGAAACAUUUUGGUGAAAAUUACAAGCUAUUUAGACUCAUUUCUUGCUGAAAAUAUGCAAAGCCCUUCGGGGAAAAUGCAGACAGAUGGUGUUUGAGACAUUUAUUGUUUUUCCUAUGUAUUUGUAAACAAAUACUAUAAAUUAAGCAUUUC